RNAcentral lists this long non-coding RNA (182 nucleotides) under Ictidomys tridecemlineatus (thirteen-lined ground squirrel). RNAcentral describes it as "lncRNA (ENSSTOG00000031346.1)". Lineage: Eukaryota; Metazoa; Chordata; Mammalia; Rodentia; Sciuridae. The record is from RNAcentral.
CUAGAGAUGAGUAUGGCCUUCAGACAUAGUUCUUAUCUUACCUGUGAGUUACUGCUUUCUAGAUGAGGGGCAGAAAAGAGCUGGUUCUCCCUUUGUCAUGGAUAUGGUCUGGGCCCUGGGUGGUACUUCCUGUCAGCAAAUGCACGUGAAGAGGAAGCCUGCGUGGGAGACUGACAUGGCAG